Molecule: ribosomal RNA, 512 nt
Filed under: uncultured bacterium
Lineage: Bacteria
Description: partial 16S ribosomal RNA
Rfam family: Bacterial small subunit ribosomal RNA
Source: RNAcentral
GAUGAACGCUGGCGGCGUGCCUAAUACAUGCAAGUCGAACGAAACUUCUUUAUCACCGAGUGCUUGCACUCACCGAUAAAGAGUUGAGUGGCGAACGGGUGAGUAACACGUGGGCAACCUGCCCAAAAGAGGGGGAUAACACUUGGAAACAGGUGCUAAUACCGCAUAACCAUAGUUACCGCAUGGUAACUAUGUAAAAGGUGGCUAUACUACCGCUUUUGGAUGGGCCCGCGGCGCAUUAGCUAGUUGGUAGGGUAAAGGCUUACCAAGGCAAUGAUGCGUAGCCGAAUUGAGAGGUUGAUCGGCCACAUUGGGACUGAGACACGACCCAAACUCCUACGGGAGGCAGCAGUAGGGAAUCUUCCACAAUGGGCGAAAGCCUGAUGGAGCAACGCCGCGUGGGUGAAGAAGGUCUUCGGAUCGUAAAACCCUGUUGUUAGAGAAGAAAGUGCGUGAGAGUAACUGUUCACGUUUCGACGGUAUCUAACCAGAAAGCCACGGCUAACUACGUG